RNAcentral lists this ribosomal RNA (406 nucleotides) under uncultured bacterium. RNAcentral's name for it is "partial 16S ribosomal RNA". It matches the Rfam family "Bacterial small subunit ribosomal RNA", at positions 30 to 526 of the family's 1533-position model. The record is from RNAcentral.
AUUGAACGCUGGCGGCAGGCCUAACACAUGCAAGUCGAGCGAGCGGUGGACGGGUGAGUAAUGUAUGGGGAUCUGCCCGAUAGAGGGGGAUAACUACUGGAAACGGUAGCUAAUACCGCAUACCAUCGGAUGUGCCCAGAUUGGAUUAGCUAGUAGGUGGGGUAAAGGCUCACCUAGGCGACGAUCCCUAGCUGGUAUGAGAGGAGGACCAGCUACACUGGAACUGAGCAACGGUCCAGACUCCUACGGGAGGCAGCAGUGGGGAAUAGUGCACAAUGUGCGCAAGCCUGAUGCAGCCAUGCCGCGGGUAUGAAGAAGGCCUUCGGGUUGUAAAGUACUUUCAGCGGGGAGGCGUUACCCGCAGAAGAAGCACCGGCUAACUCCGUGCCAGCAGCCGCGGUAAUAC